CUCCACAGCUACUGGUCUGGAACUGUUCAGAACUGUAGCAGUUGCAGUAUUCCCUCUGUGGAAAAUGAACUGUUACAUGGCAUUACGCUCCUUCUCCAAUCCUCUGGAAAGGACUUCCUGUGUAACAGACAACG
Small nucleolar RNA from Eurypyga helias (sunbittern), 134 nucleotides. It matches the Rfam family "Small nucleolar RNA SNORA41". From Rfam's summary of the family: ACA41 is a member of the H/ACA class of snoRNA that guide the sites of modification of uridines to pseudouridines. The record is from Rfam. Lineage: Eukaryota; Metazoa; Chordata; Aves; Eurypygiformes; Eurypygidae.